ACUCCUACGGGAGGCAGCAGUGAGGAAUAUUGGUCAAUGGAGGGAACUCUGAACCAGCCAUCCCGCGUGUAGGAAGACGGCCUUAUGGGUUGUAAACUACUUUUAUCACAGGAAGAAACGUACCCUCGUGAGGGUGCCUGACGGUACUGUAGGAAUAAGCACCGGCUAACUCCGUGCCAGCAGCCGCGGUAAUACGGAGGGUGCGAGCGUUAUCCGGAUUUAUUGGGUUUAAAGGUCCGUAGGCGGAUUAAUAAGUCAGUGGUGAAAUCCCAUCGCUUAACGAUGGAACUGCCAUUGAUACUGUUAGUCUUGAAUGAGGGUGCAGUGGUUGGAAUGUGUAGUGUAGCGGUGAAAUGCAUAGAUAUUACACAGAACACCGAUUGCGAAGGCAGAUCACUAACCCUAAAUUGACGCUGAGGGACGAAAGCGUGGGGGAGCGAACAGGAUUAGAUACCCU
This 457-nucleotide ribosomal RNA is filed under the name uncultured bacterium. RNAcentral describes it as "bacterial SSU rRNA". It matches the Rfam family "Bacterial small subunit ribosomal RNA", at positions 335 to 788 of the family's 1533-position model. The record is from RNAcentral.